UACGGGAGGCAGCAGUGGGGAAUAUUGCACAAUGGAGGAAACUCUGAUGCAGCGAUGCCGCGUGAGGGAAGAAGGCUUUCGGGUUGUAAACCUCUGUUCUCAGGGACGAUAAUGACUGUACCUGAGGAGAAAGCUCCGGCUAACUACGUGCCAGCAGCCGCGGUAAU
Molecule: ribosomal RNA, 167 nt
Filed under: uncultured rumen bacterium
Lineage: Bacteria
Description: partial 16S ribosomal RNA
Rfam family: Bacterial small subunit ribosomal RNA
Source: RNAcentral